GUCUUAAUUACGCAAUACGUACUAUAUAUAAUACAAUUUUAACUUGAAUUAUUAAGGUUCAAGGCAAACGGACAAAAAUAUCCAUGUGUACACACCUUUAAACAUGUGAGGCAAAAUAAUGGGAAACAACAUAGUCACCCCAUAUACAAAUUUAUAGGGAAUUUCCAAACUAGAUUGAACCAGAAAAAGAUCGAGAAGUUUCGAUGUCAGAUAAGAUUUGUUAGAUUUGCAAGCAAAAGGAAGAUCUGCGCGAAAAAAGUGACUAGAAUAAAAAAAUUCUGGAAGAAUUAAAGAAUGAAACAAGAUGAAGGUAAAUAUUCAAACUCAUUCAUUCCGAUUGAAAUAAUCUGUAAAUGCAAUAACGAACUUUAAUGUCAUAUUAAAAGGUGACUCAUUCAAGACAUGUGAUUCAGGUGUGGUUAAAACUUUAACCUUUUAGGUAUUUUGUUUUUUAAUUAUUAUUUCAUAUUAUUUACUUCAAUGAAUUUUACAUUUUAUUGAUUUUUUCCCCCAUUCAAUCUUUAAAACUAUAGCGUGAUGAUUUUGAAAAUGAAAUUGUUGUACAUAUAUAUCGUAAGUUUAACUUAUAUAUAUGUACAACAAUUUCAUUUUAUAGUGGAAAUCCAAGAUCUAUAUAUAGUAAGUUUAACUUAUAUAUAGAUCUUGGAUUUCCACUAUAUUAUUAAUAGACUUUACUCAAUGUUUUUAGUCAUUUACUUUGCUACUGUAUGCGAUAUACAGAAAUGAAUGUUAAACAUGACAAGUAUAAGAUUUGUAAGUUGGUCUCCGGUAACCCUUUUUCUUUUCUACUAAAGAACAGAAAAAUGAGAAAACUGAUCCCAAAUACGUUAUUUAUUUGAAUUAUAUAUUAAUUCAUUAGGAUCGAAGGCAUACAUUCGUUGCUCCAAAGUGUUUCGUCUUAUUAGAUUCCAAUGACUAAAUAUCAUUCUGCAUUUUGGCCAAAAAAGUUGUUUAGAUUAAUUUUGUUAUAUUUUCCGACUCCUUUUUCAAAAAUGCUGGAAUUCUUUCAAUCGAACUCUUAACAUUAUAUUUAAAUCGACAGCAAAUAUAUUGGGUAUGGAAGAUUGAAAACGAAAUGUAGAUAUUAAUUGAGCGACCUAGUAGAUUGUUAUAUUUUAACUUACGUAAGCAACUUAAAAAUGUAUUAAUUUAUUAGAGUUAAUAUGACAAAUCCGUUUUUAAUAAAAAAAAAAAUCCCGCCUUUUAUACGUUUGAUUUGUACGAUAUCAUUUUAUUCCAUCUACUGUGAGAAGUCUCAUUCCAUCUAUCCUAGUCUAUAAAUUAAAUGUUAUAUACCUCGGAAUUUUCUUCAUUGAGUCUAUUACCCACAACAUACAGAGUUUAUGCCAACAAACAGUCUGACAAGAUUACCGGAUUUGCCUCGUGUUUCCGUGAAGUGACACUUUUUACUAGAUAUGAAAACAUAUUCAUCAAAGAUACCAGUACACUAGGCAUGCGUUUCGUUUAUUUAAAAAAUCACAAGUUGUUCUCCUAUCAAAGUUAUCAAUGACGGAGUUGAUGAGCACUGAAAACAAAAAGUUGCAAAAAAUGUUUGUCAAAACUUCAUAACAAACAUAAUAGCUGACCGAAUAAAGUACUACUGAUUAAAUAAAUGUAUUCAUGAUAUAACAACAGUGAAUUUUUGAAAUUACUGUUUUGUUGUCUAUCUCUUUUAGAAUCAGAAUAUAUCUCGCAUGUUCCUCCUCUUGUGCAUAUUACCAGUGUUAGGCCUGGCAAUGAACACGGAUAAACAAUGUCCAAAGAAUUACAUUGUGCGGUCAUCCUGGAAGAACAAAACUGAACAAGAUCAUUAUUGCUGUAAGAAGUUAGAGAAAAACUGUACAGCAGGUAGUUAACUCUUAUUUCCGUAAAUUUCAUUAAAAGUUUUUUUUUAUUAUAUCACAAGCUGUCAACGGACAUGUUUUUCAAUUGUUUUGGUUUAGCAUUAAUUGCCACAUACAUAUUAAUUUUUCAGAGAUAUUUGUUGUUAUUAGUUGGCAGUGAUAAACUAUACGGCAAUUUGCAAUUUCAGACGAGUUGUCUUUUACUUGACAUUCUUAAGCUUAGUAUCUUCGCGACAAGAUAUUAGACGAUUUAGUUAGGUUGAAUAAGUUUUAUUCUAUACUUUGUUUUUGUAACUUUGUAUUGUCGUGAAUAAUAACACAACUAUUUUUUUUCAUCAUUUGUUUUCUUCAAUUUUUGAUAAUAUGUCUUUUGUGUUUAAGGAUACUACGUGAAAACAUGCAUCACUGAUUUUGGUGAAGAUAAAUGUAUGAAGUGUAAAGGCUCUACAUGGUUAGCGGAUGAGACCAAUUCUGAUAGUGUCCACCCUUGCACUAAGUACGAUUCCUGUCCGAUCGGUAAGUUUAUACACACUUUCAUUUAUCAUGAUGAUAAAGUUAAGCCCACUAUUUUUUGUGUCUUUCUUGUUUCCUUCUGUAA
RNAcentral lists this long non-coding RNA (2463 nucleotides) under Mytilus galloprovincialis (Mediterranean mussel). Lineage: Eukaryota; Metazoa; Mollusca; Bivalvia; Mytilida; Mytilidae. The record is from RNAcentral.